Molecule: ribosomal RNA, 440 nt
Filed under: uncultured Rhodoligotrophos sp.
Lineage: Bacteria; Pseudomonadati; Pseudomonadota; Alphaproteobacteria; Hyphomicrobiales; Rhodoligotrophaceae
Description: bacterial SSU rRNA
Rfam family: Bacterial small subunit ribosomal RNA
Source: RNAcentral
CCUACGGGGGGCAGCAGUGGGGAAUAUUGGACAAUGGGCGCAAGCCUGAUCCAGCCAUGCCGCGUGAGUGAAGAAGGCCUUAGGGUUGUAAAUCUCUUUCGGCGGGGAAGAUAAUGACGGUACCCGCAGAAGAAGCCCCGGCUAACUCCGUGCCAGCAGCCGCGGUAAUACGGAGGGGGCUAGCGUUGUUCGGAAUUACUGGGCGUAAAGGGCACGUAGGCUGGCUGUUAAGUCGGGGGUGAAAUCCUGAGGCUCAACCUCAGAAUUGCCUUCGAUACUGGCGGUCUUGAGUGCGGGAGAGGUGAGUGGAAUUCCCAGUGUAGAGGUGAAAUUCGUAGAUAUUGGGAAGAACACCAGUGGCGAAGGCGGCUCACUGGCCCGCAACUGACGCUGAGGUGCGAAAGCGUGGGGAGCAAACAGGAUUAGAUACCCCUGUAGUC